GCGACUUGCUUAGAAACACAAAGUUUAUCGCGACACGUGGGUGUAGACUCGCCUCAGAACUACGGUUUGCCGCAAAGCUGGCCCGCCAGCGAAGGGGGAGGAAAAGCCCGGGCAUUUCAGAACACGGCAGAGCAUCAAUUUCCUGCUUGCAGAAUUGCCGUGCCGGCUCAGCCACACCGCCCGCGAGGGGUAAAUCCCAGGCAAGCGGCAGCCUCGGCUCUGAGGCACCGCGAACAAGGAGCCCUCAGAGCCCCAUCACCGGCCCUGCCGCCUUCAUCGCGCUGCCCCCGCGGCCCCGCCUGUGACCCUGCUCCAGCGAGCCCUCCCUGCCGGUUCUGCUACCGACUCGGCCGCGGGCCUCGCUCACCCCUGUCCAGAAUCCCUCCCCGCUCCCGCUGCCCCACUCGCUCACCCCUGUCCAGAAUCCCUCCCCGCUCCCGCUGCCCCACUCGCUCACCCCUGUCCAGAAUCCCUCCCCGCUCCCGCUGCCCCACUCGCUCACCCCUGUCCAGAAUCCCUCCCCGCUCCCGCUGCCCCACUCGCUCACCCCUGUCCAGAAUCCCUCCCCGCUCCCGCUGCCCCACUCGCUCACCCCUGUCCAGAAUCCCUCCCCGCUCCCGCUGCCCCACUCGCUCACCCCUGUCCAGAAUCCCUCCCCGCUCCCGCUGCCCCACUCGCUCACCCCUGUCCAGAAUCCCUCCCCGCUCCCGCUGCCCCACUCGCUCACCCCUGUCCAGAAUCCCUCCCCGCUCCCGCUGCCCCACUCGCUCACCCCUGUCCAGAAUCCCUCCCCGCUCCCGCUGCCCCACUCGCUCACCCCUGUCCAGAAUCCCUCCCCGCUCCCGCUGCCCCACUCGCUCACCCCUGUCCAGAAUCCCUCCCCGCUCCCGCUGCCCCACUCGCUCACCCCUGUCCAGAAUCCCUCCCCGCUCCCGCUGCCCCACUCACUCACCCCUGUCCAGAGUCGCUCCCCGGUCCCGCUGCCCCACUCGCUCACCCCUGUCCAGAGCCACCGAUCCCCGCCACGGUCAAAUUUUGGCGCCGAGCGUCGCAGCCGUUAGGGGAGGUGCCUGA
Molecule: long non-coding RNA, 1074 nt
Filed under: Ficedula albicollis (Collared flycatcher)
Lineage: Eukaryota; Metazoa; Chordata; Aves; Passeriformes; Muscicapidae
Description: lncRNA (ENSFALG00000026578.1)
Source: RNAcentral